AUGAGGCCAUUCUACACGAUGCUACUAGCCCUCGCCCUUGUGCUGCUCUGCUCAGAUGUGGCGACGAAGGCAGUGACGGCAAAUGUCGGUGGCGCCACUGCGACUGUGACCCCCAUGGACUACAAGGUGCUCCCGACCAUCCCCGGCAUAUGCAAUCCUAAGAAGUGCAUGGAGGACUGCCAGGGCGGCAUCGGCCGUAGCUCUGUGGGCGAGUGUGUUUCCGACGGAUGCCAGUGCACGUACUGCACUAUCCCGCCUCGUGGUCGUCGGAACUGA
Molecule: ribosomal RNA, 276 nt
Filed under: Triticum aestivum (bread wheat)
Lineage: Eukaryota; Viridiplantae; Streptophyta; Magnoliopsida; Poales; Poaceae
Description: partial small subunit ribosomal RNA
Source: RNAcentral